AUUGAACGCUGGCGGCAUGCCUUACACAUGCAAGUCGAACGGCAGCGGACCUUCGGGUGCCGGCGAGUGGCGAACGGGUGAGUAAUAUAUCGGAACGUGCCUUUCAGUGGGGGAUAACGUAGCGAAAGUUACGCUAAUACCGCAUAUUCUGUGAGCAGGAAAGCAGGGGAUCGCAAGACCUUGCGCUGAUUGAGCGGCCGAUAUCAGAUUAGCUAGUUGGUGAGGUAAAGGCUCACCAAGGCGACGAUCUGUAGCGGGUCUGAGAGGAUGAUCCGCCACACUGGAACUGAGACACGGUCCAGACUCCUACGGGAGGCAGCAGUGGGGAAUUUUGGACAAUGGGCGCAAGCCUGAUCCAGCCAUGCCGCGUGAGUGAAGAAGGCCUUCGGGUUGUAAAGCUCUUUCGGCCGGGAAGAAAUCGCACAGGUUAAUACCCUGUGUGGAUGACGGUACCGGAAUAAGAAGCACCGGCUAACUACGUG
This 482-nucleotide ribosomal RNA is filed under the name uncultured bacterium. RNAcentral's name for it is "bacterial SSU rRNA". It matches the Rfam family "Bacterial small subunit ribosomal RNA", at positions 30 to 507 of the family's 1533-position model. The record is from RNAcentral.